GGCUGUGCGUCCACCAACCUUGGAUCUGCAGCAUCCAAAGCUGACCCUCUGCCGCAGGGUAUACAACAGGUGGACACACAGUC
Molecule: small RNA, 83 nt
Organism: Drosophila melanogaster (fruit fly)
Lineage: Eukaryota; Metazoa; Arthropoda; Insecta; Diptera; Drosophilidae
Rfam family: bZIP non canonical Hac1/Xbp1 intron
About the family: bZIP intron RNA is a non-canonical intron that was first reported in HAC1 gene in yeast and XBP1 gene in Metazoa.
Source: Rfam